RNAcentral lists this long non-coding RNA (386 nucleotides) under Linum usitatissimum (flax). Its description in RNAcentral is "long non-coding RNA (LUSI_LNC001383)". The record is from RNAcentral. Lineage: Eukaryota; Viridiplantae; Streptophyta; Magnoliopsida; Malpighiales; Linaceae.
CCCGACCCGAGACAAUUCGGAGCCUGCUGUUCCCGUCGAGACCAAGUCCAGAGGCGAUGGCUUCUGGAAAGGCUGGUAAGUUCAAUUUGUCUUUAUUAUAAACAAAACCAUAACUUUUUUUAAUUUUAAUUUUAAUUAAAUUUGUGCGUUGAAUUAUUAUUAUUAUGUUAUUGUAGUUGCGCUGCAUUGUGCUGCUGCUGUGUGCUGGACGCCUGUUUCUGAGGGACCGGUGUCGAAUAUUUGGGAAGAUGAUGAUGAUGAUGAUGAUGACAAUUAUUAAUUAAUUGUUGCUUUUGUUUUUAGUUUUUUUUUUGAAUUAAUAUAUAGUUUUUUAAAUUGCGCGCCGUGCUUGACUAUCAUACUUCAUCAUAAAUAAUGUAAUGCAA